This is a non-coding RNA of Pelobates cultripes (western spadefoot toad), 226 nucleotides long. Lineage: Eukaryota; Metazoa; Chordata; Amphibia; Anura; Pelobatidae. The record is from the annotation of a GenBank genome assembly.
GACACUGUGCUGAUACUCAAUUUGUGUUCUUCUUAAUACGCUUCACGGGAAAAACAUACAAACAUAGCUGGCAUGUUGGUUCCACCUGACUGUCACACAGUGACAGCUAUAAGUCCCUGGUAACACAAAAUACAUCUGUACUGCCAUCUGCAAGCUGAGCAAGUGAUUCUUCUCUUCUCACUUAUUCCUUUCCCUCCAGGAUCGAAAAUAAUGUGCUACUCGGGAG